GGGUUGUGAGGUUAAGCGACUAAGCGUACACGGUGGAUGCCCUGGCAGUCAGAGGCGAUGAAGGACGUGCUAAUCUGCGAUAAGCGUCGGUAAGGUGAUAUGAACCGUUAUAACCGGCGAUUUCCGAAUGGGGAAACCCAGUGUGUUUCGACACACUAUCAUUAACUGAAUCCAUAGGUUAAUGAGGCGAACCGGGGGAACUGAAACAUCUAAGUACCCCGAGGAAAAGAAAUCAACCGAGAUUCCCCCAGUAGCGGCGAGCGAACGGGGAGCAGCCCAGAGCCUGAAUCAGUGUGUGUGUUAGUGGAAGCGUCUGGAAAGGCGCGCGAUACAGGGUGACAGCCCCGUACACAAAAAUGCACAUGCUGUGAGCUCGAUGAGUAGGGCGGGACACGUGGUAUCCUGUCUGAAUAUGGGGGGACCAUCCUCCAAGGCUAAAUACUCCUGACUGACCGAUAGUGAACCAGUACCGUGAGGGAAAGGCGAAAAGAACCCCGGCGAGGGGAGUGAAAAAGAACCUGAAACCGUGUACGUACAAGCAGUGGGAGCACGCUUAGGCGUGUGACUGCGUACCUUUUGUAUAAUGGGUCAGCGACUUAUAUUCUGUAGCAAGGUUAACCGAAUAGGGGAGCCGAAGGGAAACCGAGUCUUAACUGGGCGUUAAGUUGCAGGGUAUAGACCCGAAACCCGGUGAUCUAGCCAUGGGCAGGUUGAAGGUUGGGUAACACUAACUGGAGGACCGAACCGACUAAUGUUGAAAAAUUAGCGGAUGACUUGUGGCUGGGGGUGAAAGGCCAAUCAAACCGGGAGAUAGCUGGUUCUCCCCGAAAGCUAUUUAGGUAGCGCCUCGUGAAUUCAUCUCCGGGGGUAGAGCACUGUUUCGGCAAGGGGGUCAUCCCGACUUACCAACCCGAUGCAAACUGCGAAUACCGGAGAAUGUUAUCACGGGAGACACACGGCGGGUGCUAACGUCCGUCGUGAAGAGGGAAACAACCCAGACCGCCAGCUAAGGUCCCAAAGUCAUGGUUAAGUGGGAAACGAUGUGGGAAGGCCCAGACAGCCAGGAUGUUGGCUUAGAAGCAGCCAUCAUUUAAAGAAAGCGUAAUAGCUCACUGGUCGAGUCGGCCUGCGCGGAAGAUGUAACGGGGCUAAACCAUGCACCGAAGCUGCGGCAGCGACGCUUAUGUGUUGUUGGGUAGGGGAGCGUUCUGUAAGCCUGUGAAGGUGUACUGUGAGGUAUGCUGG
Molecule: ribosomal RNA, 1245 nt
Filed under: Escherichia coli
Lineage: Bacteria; Pseudomonadati; Pseudomonadota; Gammaproteobacteria; Enterobacterales; Enterobacteriaceae
Description: bacterial LSU rRNA
Rfam family: Bacterial large subunit ribosomal RNA
Source: RNAcentral